CAAGAUGUAGCUUAAUUAAAGCAUCUAAUUUACACCUAGAAGAUUUCACAUGUUAUGAACAUCUUGA
RNAcentral lists this transfer RNA (67 nucleotides) under Naemorhedus griseus (Chinese goral). Its description in RNAcentral is "tRNA-Val". It matches the Rfam family "tRNA". From Rfam's summary of the family: Transfer RNA (tRNA) molecules are approximately 80 nucleotides in length. Their secondary structure includes four short double-helical elements and three loops (D, anti-codon, and T loops). RNAcentral also lists the same sequence under 2 other names. Lineage: Eukaryota; Metazoa; Chordata; Mammalia; Artiodactyla; Bovidae. The record is from RNAcentral.